GGGAAUGGUCGGGAUAGCUCAGUGGUAGAGCAGAGG
RNAcentral lists this transfer RNA (36 nucleotides) under Muehlenbeckia axillaris. RNAcentral's name for it is "partial tRNA-Phe". The record is from RNAcentral. Lineage: Eukaryota; Viridiplantae; Streptophyta; Magnoliopsida; Caryophyllales; Polygonaceae. RNAcentral also lists the same sequence under 2 other names.